GCGGCUGUGGCGGAAUGGCAGACGCGCUACUUUGAGGGGGUAGUGAUCUUUCGAUCGUGUGAGUUCAAGUCUCACCAGCCGCA
This is a transfer RNA of Dialister sp. CAG:486, 83 nucleotides long. It matches the Rfam family "tRNA". Rfam says of the family: Transfer RNA (tRNA) molecules are approximately 80 nucleotides in length. Their secondary structure includes four short double-helical elements and three loops (D, anti-codon, and T loops). The record is from Rfam. Lineage: Bacteria; Bacillati; Bacillota; Negativicutes; Veillonellales; Veillonellaceae.